UCGAGGGUGAGCAUGGAAGAGGAAGAAAAGAGCAAUGGGCAUGUGAACAUGGAGGAAGGCCUGUGAGGUGGAAAUCUAUGUUGGGUCUUCCUGAUGCCUCCCAUGCCUAUCGUUCUUAGGUGCUCCUUCCUCUUCCUUUUGGAU
Molecule: microRNA precursor, 144 nt
Filed under: Dichanthelium oligosanthes
Lineage: Eukaryota; Viridiplantae; Streptophyta; Magnoliopsida; Poales; Poaceae
Description: MIR2118 microRNA precursor family
Rfam family: MIR2118 microRNA precursor family
Source: Rfam by way of RNAcentral